Molecule: long non-coding RNA, 208 nt
Filed under: Lathyrus oleraceus (garden pea)
Lineage: Eukaryota; Viridiplantae; Streptophyta; Magnoliopsida; Fabales; Fabaceae
Description: Pisum sativum (pea) long non-coding RNA (PSAT_LNC016242)
Source: RNAcentral
AAGUAUUUGCUUAGCCAGGUCACUAAUCGUCCUUGCUAUGGUUACAUCUGCCCCCCAAUUCUAAAUGGAAUUGAGAUAUCAAUCUUACUUUGAAAAAGUAGUUUUACAUGAGAAAUGUAGCAAUACAACCCCACAAACCUUAUAUUUGAUGUUGAUUUUAACACUUUAUCUUCCUUGAUUUGAGUUUGAUCAUGCACCCAAUAAUUCC